This is a non-coding RNA of Trichonephila clavata, 76 nucleotides long. The record is from the annotation of a GenBank genome assembly. NCBI's taxonomy places the organism in Eukaryota, Metazoa, Arthropoda, Arachnida, Araneae, Nephilidae.
UCCCUUUGCAAUGCCUAGCGGUUAUGAUACUCGGCUUGUAACAGAGUGGGCUCGGGUUCGAAUCCCGAAUAAGGAU